AAUCAACGCUGGCGGCGUGCCUCAGACAUGCAAGUCGAACGAUUAAAGCUCUCUUCGGAGAGUGUAUAGAGUGGCGCACGGGUGAGUAACACGUAAGUAAUCUACCCUCGAGUGGGGAAUAACGUCCGGAAACGGACGCUAAUACCGCAUAAUGCAGCGGCACCGCAAGGUGACAGUUGUUAAAGAUUUAUCGCUUGAGGAGGAGCUUGCGGCAGAUUAGCAGUUGGUAAGGUAAUGGCUUACCAAGGCUACGAUCUGUAACCGGUCUAAGAGGACGGUCGGUCACACUGACACUGAAUAACGGGUCAGACUCCUACGGGAGGCAGCAGUCGGGAAUUUUGGGCAAUGGGCGAAAGCCUGACCCAGCAACGCCGCGUGAAGGAUGAAGUAUUUCGGUAUGUAAACUUCGAAAGAAUGGGAAGAAUCAAUGACGGUACCAUUUAUAAGGUCCGGCUAACUACGUGCCAGCAGCCGCUGUAAG
RNAcentral lists this ribosomal RNA (481 nucleotides) under uncultured bacterium. Its description in RNAcentral is "bacterial SSU rRNA". It matches the Rfam family "Bacterial small subunit ribosomal RNA", at positions 32 to 524 of the family's 1533-position model. The record is from RNAcentral.